This 2931-nucleotide ribosomal RNA is filed under the name Escherichia coli. RNAcentral's name for it is "23S ribosomal RNA". It matches the Rfam family "Bacterial large subunit ribosomal RNA". The record is from RNAcentral. Lineage: Bacteria; Pseudomonadati; Pseudomonadota; Gammaproteobacteria; Enterobacterales; Enterobacteriaceae.
GGGUUGUGAGGUUAAGCGACUAAGCGUACACGGUGGAUGCCCUGGCAGUCAGAGGCGAUGAAGGACGUGCUAAUCUGCGAUAAGCGUCGGUAAGGUGAUAUGAACCGUUAUAACCGGCGAUUUCCGAAUGGGGAAACCCAGUGUGAUUCGUCACACUAUCAUUAACUGAAUCCAUAGGUUAAUGAGGCGAACCGGGGGAACUGAAACAUCUAAGUACCCCGAGGAAAAGAAAUCAACCGAGAUUCCCCCAGUAGCGGCGAGCGAACGGGGAGCAGCCCAGAGCCUGAAUCAGUGUGUGUGUUAGUGGAAGCGUCUGGAAAGGCGUGCGAUACAGGGUGACAGCCCCGUACACAAAAAUGCACAUGCUGUGAGCUCGAUGAGUAGGGCGGGACACGUGGUAUCCUGUCUGAAUAUGGGGGGACCAUCCUCCAAGGCUAAAUACUCCUGACUGACCGAUAGUGAACCAGUACCGUGAGGGAAAGGCGAAAAGAACCCCGGCGAGGGGAGUGAAAAAGAACCUGAAACCGUGUACGUACAAGCAGUGGGAGCACGCUUAGGCGUGUGACUGCGUACCUUUUGUAUAAUGGGUCAGCGACUUAUAUUCUGUAGCAAGGUUAACCGAAUAGGGGAGCCGAAGGGAAACCGAGUCUUAACUGGGCGUUAAGUUGCAGGGUAUAGACCCGAAACCCGGUGAUCUAGCCAUGGGCAGGUUGAAGGUUGGGUAACACUAACUGGAGGACCGAACCGACUAAUGUUGAAAAAUUAGCGGAUGACUUGUGGCUGGGGGUGAAAGGCCAAUCAAACCGGGAGAUAGCUGGUUCUCCCCGAAAGCUAUUUAGGUAGCGCCUCGUGAAUUCAUCUCCGGGGGUAGAGCACUGUUUCGGCAAGGGGGUCAUCCCGACUUACCAACCCGAUGCAAACUGCGAAUACCGGAGAAUGUUAUCACGGGAGACACACGGCGGGUGCUAACGUCCGUCGUGAAGAGGGAAACAACCCAGACCGCCAGCUAAGGUCCCAAAGUCAUGGUUAAGUGGGAAACGAUGUGGGAAGGCCCAGACAGCCAGGAUGUUGGCUUAGAAGCAGCCAUCAUUUAAAGAAAGCGUAAUAGCUCACUGGUCGAGUCGGCCUGCGCGGAAGAUGUAACGGGGCUAAACCAUGCACCGAAGCUGCGGCAGCGACGCUGAUGCGUUGUUGGGUAGGGGAGCGUUCUGUAAGCCUGUGAAGGUGUACUGUGAGGUAUGCUGGAGGUAUCAGAAGUGCGAAUGCUGACAUAAGUAACGAUAAAGCGGGUGAAAAGCCCGCUCGCCGGAAGACCAAGGGUUCCUGUCCAACGUUAAUCGGGGCAGGGUGAGUCGACCCCUAAGGCGAGGCCGAAAGGCGUAGUCGAUGGGAAACAGGUUAAUAUUCCUGUACUUGGUGUUACUGCGAAGGGGGGACGGAGAAGGCUAUGUUGGCCGGGCGACGGUUGUCCCGGUUUAAGCGUGUAGGCUGGUUUUCCAGGCAAAUCCGGAAAAUCAAGGCUGAGGCGUGAUGACGAGGCACUACGGUGCUGAAGCAACAAAUGCCCUGCUUCCAGGAAAAGCCUCUAAGCAUCAGGUAACAUCAAAUCGUACCCCAAACCGACACAGGUGGUCAGGUAGAGAAUACCAAGGCGCUUGAGAGAACUCGGGUGAAGGAACUAGGCAAAAUGGUGCCGUAACUUCGGGAGAAGGCACGCUGAUAUGUAGGUGAAGUCCCUCGCGGAUGGAGCUGAAAUCAGUCGAAGAUACCAGCUGGCUGCAACUGUUUAUUAAAAACACAGCACUGUGCAAACACGAAAGUGGACGUAUACGGUGUGACGCCUGCCCGGUGCCGGAAGGUUAAUUGAUGGGGUCAGCGCAAGCGAAGCUCUUGAUCGAAGCCCCGGUAAACGGCGGCCGUAACUAUAACGGUCCUAAGGUAGCGAAAUUCCUUGUCGGGUAAGUUCCGACCUGCACGAAUGGCGUAAUGAUGGCCAGGCUGUCUCCACCCGAGACUCAGUGAAAUUGAACUCGCUGUGAAGAUGCAGUGUACCCGCGGCAAGACGGAAAGACCCCGUGAACCUUUACUAUAGCUUGACACUGAACAUUGAGCCUUGAUGUGUAGGAUAGGUGGGAGGCUUUGAAGUGUGGACGCCAGUCUGCAUGGAGCCGACCUUGAAAUACCACCCUUUAAUGUUUGAUGUUCUAACGUUGACCCGUAAUCCGGGUUGCGGACAGUGUCUGGUGGGUAGUUUGACUGGGGCGGUCUCCUCCUAAAGAGUAACGGAGGAGCACGAAGGUUGGCUAAUCCUGGUCGGACAUCAGGAGGUUAGUGCAAUGGCAUAAGCCAGCUUGACUGCGAGCGUGACGGCGCGAGCAGGUGCGAAAGCAGGUCAUAGUGAUCCGGUGGUUCUGAAUGGAAGGGCCAUCGCUCAACGGAUAAAAGGUACUCCGGGGAUAACAGGCUGAUACCGCCCAAGAGUUCAUAUCGACGGCGGUGUUUGGCACCUCGAUGUCGGCUCAUCACAUCCUGGGGCUGAAGUAGGUCCCAAGGGUAUGGCUGUUCGCCAUUUAAAGUGGUACGCGAGCUGGGUUUAGAACGUCGUGAGACAGUUCGGUCCCUAUCUGCCGUGGGCGCUGGAGAACUGAGGGGGGCUGCUCCUAGUACGAGAGGACCGGAGUGGACGCAUCACUGGUGUUCGGGUUGUCAUGCCAAUGGCACUGCCCGGUAGCUAAAUGCGGAAGAGAUAAGUGCUGAAAGCAUCUAAGCACGAAACUUGCCCCGAGAUGAGUUCUCCCUGACUCCUUGAGAGUCCUGAAGGAACGUUGAAGACGACGACGUUGAUAGGCCGGGUGUGUAAGCGCAGCGAUGCGUUGAGCUAACCGGUACUAAUGAACCGUGAGGCUUAACCUUACAACGCCGAAGGUGUUU